Non-coding RNA from Anas platyrhynchos (mallard), 1316 nucleotides. Lineage: Eukaryota; Metazoa; Chordata; Aves; Anseriformes; Anatidae. The record is from RefSeq and is a predicted model, not a curated record.
GACAAAGCAGGUGGGCCAUGGAGCACAGCCUGUGAUAAUCAAGGGAGAUAAGGCUGAAACCCAUACACAGCAGUUGCUUGGAGGGUACAGCAUCAGGGGGACACCCAGGCAGUCAGAAGAGACGGCUCUGCAACAGAAGCCCUCCUGCAGACUGGCAUGAGGCUCAUGCAGAGGCCCUGCUGCUGUGGUGGCCAUGAGAGGUGGUGGGCAGCACUGCCAGGCUCCAAAAGGACAGGCCGCAGGGGAUUGGGAAACAGCACAGGAGUACAAGGUCUGCGAAGGGUUCUGCCAGAGUCAACAGUCCUCAGUAUAAAGCCAGAGCAGCAUUUGCAUGUCCCUUCGGGUUAUGACCCCCAUGGAAAUAACACCUGGCAUCACUCAUGUGGAGUCCCACCUGGAGCUCUGCUGCAUAUGGUGCUACUGGGGUCCGUAAGUCCUUGGACUGAUCUGCAAAGGGAGGCUGAAUGACAAGGAGGAGGGCUGCUGAAAGCAAGAAAGAGUUGCCAUUGCUACCUCUGGUAGGCUCACUAACAACAGCAAAGGCAGAUUUAGCAAGUCACUGCCGUGGGCCUUCUUAGCAGUUUUGUAAUCUGAUUAAUAAACCCUUAUUGCCAGCUAUGAUUUCUGUGAAUGAUCAUUUCUGCUGGUAGCAGGAGAAAUUCAGAAGGUGCUCAAGCCCUGGCAGAAGAGGCUAGUAGGGCACCCUCCUCAUCAGUUCAUUGGUUUUGGAACACAAUUAAUGCAGGUUUUAUGGGUGAUUAUUUCAAAAUCUGAAUGCUUGAAAUCACUACAAGUUAUAAUAGCACUUUCAAGUGCACUGAUUUUCAUCUGCAAGAAUUUAUUUUAAGCCUCAAACUGUGUACUGCUUUUAAAAAAAUAUCACACAGAAGUUCCUGCACAUGAUUUUAGCUGGAAUCAGUGAGCAGACAUCAUCAGCGAACAUUUUUACUGCCUCAUAUUCAUCCUUCUCAAGCUGCAUAAAUAAUAUUCAAGGGUUCACCUGUUUCAUCAGCUCAAAGACAGACAAAUUUUGGACCUCCAGAAACAGCUAAAUAGGACGAAACCAGUGACUUUUCCCUGCAUAACUGUACGUGGUGGGAUUUUCCAUGUAGAAAUAAUCAGUGAUAAUUUAUGUCUAAACGAUAGUGUUUGCACAUGUUAAAAAUCAGCAUACAAAAUAUUAACCAUUGUUUAUGUCAGAAUCUGCUGAUAAUAAAGUCAUAGACUGAUAAAUGCAAUACAUGCGGAAGUACUUUAUGAGAGUAAAAAAUCAAUUUUCAUUAGCUGCAUUAAGGAAAAAAAAGAAUUGUGAUAAC